This 4900-nucleotide long non-coding RNA is filed under the name Gossypium barbadense (sea-island cotton). RNAcentral describes it as "long non-coding RNA (GBAR_LNC014377)". Lineage: Eukaryota; Viridiplantae; Streptophyta; Magnoliopsida; Malvales; Malvaceae. The record is from RNAcentral.
UUUGCAAAUCAAUGUAAUGAGAAUUUAAACAUAACUAAAUAGUCUAAACUUUAAAUAAUAUUGUCAUAUUCAUAAAGUCAGAAAUAUAACAUUUAAUUCUAAACCCAUAACAAUAAUUUCAUCACCUUUAACCCAGUUUCACCAACAUCUGCUCAAGAGUGCACCUCGCCACAUCAUCGACCUUGCCAAUGCUAACCCGCAACCUACUUACUUGAGAAAAAGUAAGAGAGGAGUGAGUGAGUUCCUUGUGAACUCAGUGAAUAAUCAGAAACGUUAUGAUAUGUUUUAGAAAUAGAUUAUUUUUAAAAAAAUAAAAAGAAAAUUUAACCUUGAAAACAUUUCACGUGUUGGGUUUGCAGGUGAGGUUACGAGACCCGGUUCGCACAUUUUGUCAAAAAACAUAACCUUGGAAAAAAAUUUUUGAAAACUUAUUAGCCUUUUCUUAAAACAUACUAGGCAGGGCUCACCUUAAAAUCGUGAGGCCAAUUUCAUUUAUCAAAAAGUUUUAAAAACCAAGUCUCGGCUCGUCCUAAAAUUGCGAAGCCAGCUUGCACUUUUCAGAAAAACCUUUUCUUUAGAUAGGGUCUGCCUUAGCUCGCAAGACCAAUUCACACUUAAUAGCAGAUUUUGCCUUAGGUCACAACACCGACUCGUCACAUUGUCUUGUUGGAUAGAAUCCAACUGAACUCGCAGAGGAGCAUACACUUUGAUACAUAUCACACUAGCUCGUGUAAAGCUGGGCUCACUGAGGAGCAUCAUCACUUACGAUCAGAGUCUAUCUUACAAUACUAGUUCCUCACUUUUUCUCAUUGGAUAUAAUCCAAUCUAGCUCACAAAGGAGCAUUCACUUUGAGACAAAUCACAUUAGCUCACAUAUAGAACUAGGCUCACUGAGGAGCACAAUCACUUAAGUUCACAUGAAGAGCUUCGCUAAUACAUAGUUUGUUAAGCUCACGUAGGGAGCUUCGUUGAUACACAACUUGUAAAACCAUUUCUGUAAACAUUCUUUAAAACCUUAUCUUGAAUAGGAGCUCGCACAAAACUAUGCUUUAAAAAAUCAUAUUUUCAAACCAUGCUUGAAAAUAGAGGUUUGUAGCUUUAAAACAUAUAUUUUUAGAAAACUUACCUUUGAAAUUUGUUUCAAAAACAUAAUUCUUAAAGAAACAUAUCAGUAUAAAAUGAACAAUAUCUUAGUUAACAUACUCCAAAAAUUCUAGACCACUCACCGGAAAAUAGAGAAACUAAAACAAGUUUAGUUUUGUCUUUAUCCUUACUAGAAGACGGUCUAGCUGGUUUGCAACAAACAUACACACAUAUUACUUAAGCAGAACAAGACAUACAGAAUUCAUACAAUAUGAACUUUGACAAUCACACUCAAUAAGACAGAGGCUUACCCUGAUAACUACGAACUGAACUUGGAAUAAAGACUUUGACGAUAGAAUAUUCAGUGAAGAUUUCACAUAAUUAAGGGUCGUAUAUAUAGACUUAAGAGUACUAAUAAUAUUUGGAUACCUUACUUGACUUAGGAAAGUUACUACUUGCAUGUAAAGUCUUCUUAGAUACACUAAAUCUUUAUUUCCUAAUUUCAGUCUAAUUGUAUCUUUGACUGAUGAACCUUGGUUUGCAAUAAGACUGGCAAUCCCCUAUUCGUAACAAGACUGACGAACACCAACUCACCAUCACAUUAACGAACCUACUCAUAGAGAAACUGACGAACCCAACUUGGUAAGGGAUCUAGUGAACCCCUUACCACAUCUUCAGGUACACACUGCUACUGGCGAACCCCCUCGCUAAUACACUUUUGGUGAACCCCCAGCUCACCUAAACCUUGGCUAACACCUACUUCGCCAGAACACUGGUGAACCCUUCACUUGCGAGGCCAAAAUUUCCAGGCCCAUCUACGGAGUGUUACAUUCAUUCUCAUCCAAAAAUGAAUAUUUCAGAUCACAUGGUAGUUUUUUCAAAUCAAGCUUAGGUGGUUGAUCAAAUGAUGGUUUCGAAACAUUUGUAGUCACUGAAAGUUCAUCAAAUUUGUCUCCAAUAAAAGUUAUUUUCUUGUCCCUAGAAAGAAUUUAACUCAGGAUCAAUGCAUGAAAUUUUUUUUUGUCAUCAAUUUUAAAUUCAGUUAAAUAAUUUUCCAAAUGAUUGAAUUGCUAGAUAAAAAAUCUAGUUCAGAACAUUUUUUUUGCACAACAAAAAAUAAAAAUUUUGAAAACUGAGUUGGUUUGUGAUAUUUAUGAAAUCAACUCUUUACCGAAACAAUACAUUUGUCUUUGGCUAGACGGAUUCUUUUCGUUCUUAGCUUUCAAUUGAACAACCUUCUCUACUAUUCUCAUACCACAAACUGCCUUGAGCGUGGGCUUGAACAUUUCAAAUCAAACAUAGAACCAGAAAUAGUUUUCUUUACUUUAAGUGUGAAAGUAAAAUUCUCUCAAUAGAAAUCGACAAAAUUGUUAUUUUGGAAACUAGAAUUAAUACUUAGAGAAUGAACUCCCACUAUUUUCGGACAGAAUAACAAUAUCUCAAAAAUCGUAUGAUUAGUGCUAUCAGUGCAUCUAUUUAUAAAGAGAAGAGGUAAAACCCUUGCUGAAUUGUUGAAGUCUAUUUCAAUAGAAAAACGUACUCAUAGUCUAAUUAAGUUUCGAAUUUUUUCCUAUUAAUUAUAAACUCAUUUAGUCACGAAGUAAUUCCACUAUAGUAUCAUGACUGAGCUAUCCCCAACAGCAUACCAUUACGAAAGCAACUUGAUUAGUGCUUGUCCAAUGAUCUUGUCAUAAGUGUACUCAUAUUUUAUCUCAUUAAUCUCUGUGAGAUAAUAUUCAUUCUCCCAAUAUGAUUAGUGCUUGUCCAAUGAUCUUGUCAUAAGUGUGCUCAUAUUUUAUCUCAUUAAUCUCUGUGAGAUAAUAUUCAUUCUCCCAAUAUUAUCCUAUUUUAUCUCACGGUGACCAUUACAUCUUCCUUCAUAAUAAGUUAAUUACUGUCAAAUAGUAAUCAAGUCAUUCAUCACAAAGAUGAACGACCCGUGGCCACAUUUAAUUUUCAACAACCAUGUAAGGCCAAUGAGAGGAUAUCAUUUACCUAUGUCUUAAGCUAUGAAUUCCACUAUUAUGAAUGACACUACAUACUACAGAAGUUGUACACCCAACACACCAGCUUUCGGUUCCUUAUCCAUUCGAACUUAGGCUUUUACUUACAUCAAAGUGUACGAGUCAUGCAUACAUAGUCCAUCAUCCACUCAGGAUUUAGGUAUGCAACACAAUGAACAUCACAAGUGAAUAAACCCAUAAACGAAUUCAUGAUCUAUUCUUUUUGGGUCCAGUCUAAUGUACUAUAAGUCUAGUCAGUCACAUCUAUACCUCUAUCUUCUAGGAGCCAUCCGUCUCGAUGCCCGACCAAACAUCUCCCAAUUGGACUUGAUAGGCGACAUAUUAGUCUUUCAAUUAGUUUGCCCGUUUCUGAUUAGACUAAGGACUUGUUUAGGUUCGUCUACUAAUAUAAUCUAUCUUUUCAUAUUUCGAUUAGACCAUGUAAUACCACUUAGUAUCAGUUAAACAUUAGGCAACCAAUGAGCAACAUUUGCUUCCAUUUUGCUUUGCGUACAAAACCCAUAUGGGAAUAAUUAUAGAAAUUAUUAAUGUAAUUCAUGAAUUAAUCUGUUUAAAAAUUACAAGUAUAUAUAAACAAAUAUACUACAGUUAAGGCACCAGAUCCAAUACACAAAAGUACACAAACAACUCUGUUGGCAUACUAACUAUAUACUAGCCUUUAUACCAUGUUUAGAUGGGCAUUACCAUUCAUGAACAUAUACACAUAUAAAUUGUGACAACCACAUUUCAAUUUUCAUAAUUCAUAAACCGUAGCUUGAUAUGAAACACAUUUUCAUCAUGUAAUCCAUAAGAAUAUCGUCAACCAUUCUCUUGACCAAUCUUACUAAACAUUUUACUUUUCAUGUAAGCAUCAUUUACCUUUCAUGAUUCAUAUUGUAUUCAUUCAAUUUAUUCACAAGCUCAUUUUCAUUCAUUAGUGCUUCCUUGUCAAGUAUAUCAAAUUCAUUAACUAUUUAGCAUAUUUCAUAACUAAUAAUACUUUUAAUAGACUAAUACAUACAAGUAUACAUAACUAACAACAAGGAUAGUAAAUUCCAUUAAAACCUACCUUUCAAAAUAAAAUUGAAAAGAGAUUCUUUCAAAGCUUUUACUCAAUAGUUUUUUUCUUUCCCUUUGCUUGCUCCACCUCUUUCUUACUCUUUUUCUAUUAAAACAUUAAAAUCACAUAAUCAAUAUUAUGAGUUUAACAUCUAAUGGUCACUUAAUGAUCAUUUAAACAAAUGGUAAUGUCAUGAGAUGCAAAGCUUCAUUAAAAUCUUUUGAACCCUAAUGUUUGAAAUUCCUAUAACUUGAGUUUUCUUCGAUUGAAUUUUAAUCCGAUUUUAUAAAUAAAACCUAGGGUCUAAGCUAUACUAAAAUAUAAUUUUUUCUCAAAGUUCCAACUUUUCUCCCAUUAAGUACUUAACAUCCAUCCAUGGCCACUUAACCAUUCCUUGGUAAAAAGUUGUUCCCAUCAUAACCCAUUAACAUACAAACUCAUAUUCAUCAUCAUCAAGCUACAUUAAACAUCAAAUAUCAAAUUUCUCUCUCUAGUUUCCUUAACCUUUAACAAUGACAACCACACACAAUACUCAUCAAUCUAUCAUUCGAACUAAUGGGCUCGUCUUACUCAUGAUAUUUAACUAAAAAUUAAGGAAAAAAAAGCUUCCUUACCUAUGGAGAUGGCUCACGACAUGCAAGAACUUAGAAACUUUACUUUGUUUUCUUCUGCAAACGGUGAGGAAGAAGAAGGUAAGUGAAUUUUCUCUCCCACUUACUCAAGUUUAUACAUAUAUUCAUAUGUACAUAAAUAU